RNAcentral lists this unclassified non-coding RNA (254 nucleotides) under Hevea brasiliensis (rubber tree). Lineage: Eukaryota; Viridiplantae; Streptophyta; Magnoliopsida; Malpighiales; Euphorbiaceae. The record is from RNAcentral.
AACAGCUAUUUUGCCAUUGACAUUGCAAUACAGUUUCAGUUCUUCAACUUCACUAUCUGAUUUUACAUUCACUUGUUCCUAACUCUAUCAUGCUCCUAGGGUAACAUAUGCACAACUUGGCGUUUAUCUAUCAUGCAAAAGAGGAUUCCUAAGUCCUAACACAUACUCGUAGGGUAACAUAUACACAAUCAAUAAAGGUUAACCCAAUGCACGAAAUAUCCCACAUUUGUGGCACGAAAUAUCCCACAUUUGUG